UACGGGGGGGGCAAGCGUUGUUCGGAAUUACUGGGCGUAAAGGGCUCGUAGGCGGCCAACUAAGUCAGACGUGAAAUCCCCAGGCUCAACCUGGGAACUGCGUCUGAUACUGGAUGGCUUGAAUCCGGGAGAGGGAUGCAGAAUUCCAGGUGUAGCGGUGAAAUGCGUAGAUAUCUGGAGGAAUACCGGUGGCGAAGGCGGCAUCCUGGACCGGCAUUGACGCUGAGGAGCGAAAGCCAGGGAGCAAACGGG
This 252-nucleotide ribosomal RNA is filed under the name uncultured bacterium. Its description in RNAcentral is "partial 16S ribosomal RNA". It matches the Rfam family "Bacterial small subunit ribosomal RNA", at positions 524 to 776 of the family's 1533-position model. The record is from RNAcentral.